RNAcentral lists this ribosomal RNA (89 nucleotides) under Aneurinibacillus migulanus. Its description in RNAcentral is "16S rRNA. Bacterial SSU". It matches the Rfam family "Bacterial small subunit ribosomal RNA", at positions 1 to 84 of the family's 1533-position model. Lineage: Bacteria; Bacillati; Bacillota; Bacilli; Caryophanales; Paenibacillaceae. The record is from RNAcentral.
CUUUAUUGGAGAGUUUGAUCCUGGCUCAGGACGAACGCUGGCGGCGUGCCUAAUACAUGCAAGUCGAGCGGAUCAAUGAAGAGCUUGCU